GUGCUUGCUUCAGCAGCACAUAUACUAAAACUGAAAUGAUACAGAGAAGAUUAGCAUGGCCCCUGUGCAAGGAUUACAUGCAAAUUUGUGAAGUGUUCUGUAUUUCU
Molecule: small nuclear RNA, 107 nt
Organism: Papio anubis (olive baboon)
Lineage: Eukaryota; Metazoa; Chordata; Mammalia; Primates; Cercopithecidae
Source: Ensembl